GUCUAAUAUACAUGACAAAGAAUAACUCAUCUUAAAAGUUAUAAUACUUACACAUGUUGAUAUAGUACUAUGUUAUACAACUUACACAAGUCACAACGACACUAGUUGAAAUUAAACAAAGCAAAAUAGUGCAAUAUGAAUAAGAUGUUGACAUAAUUAGUUCCCAGGAUUUUGUGACUAUACAUUAGGAACUAAAUAAUUAAUUAAUGAAUGAAAAUUGGUCAUGAAUUAACGGUAAACAUUCUAAUACAUUUUUAUAAAAUACAUUUUAUGAAAAUCAAACACUAAAGACGUGAGUAUAAUCCGGGCAGUUAGCCACGAUUGCGACAUGAGAAUUUGACAUUUGGCGAUAAAAGUAGGGGACACACUGUAGUGUCACGCAGCCAAUGGAAGCUGCUACAGGGUCGGCUGGACAAACACUAUUGUGCUAAAAGCCUAAAACAUAACCCUUUUUUCGUUUUUACAAACGAGUCCCAAGUGGUCACAGCUUCACUUUGUAGCCCGAUACAAUUUAACCCCUUUUGACAUGUUGCCCAACCCGUCUAACCCAAAGUUUAAUAUUAGCAACACGACAGUAGCCAUACUACAACUUUUACAAUGAAGUCAAGUAUGAUCAUUUAUAUUAAUCAAAAAGCAUAUAAGGAUAGAAACGAUUCUUUAGCAACAAACCUACAAUAUACAUGUUUUCCUUUAAAACAAAAUUUUUGGGAUCCAUGUUGGAAACUCUCUUAACACUUACUUUCAGUAUAAAUAAUAUAGAAGAAUAUAUGGGGGGAUUGUUAGUACAAGUUAAGUUUUGUUUUAUGAGCUUAAAACAUAACUUGAUGUAACAAAUAUGAAGGUUUGAUAGUAUAUAAAUGGGAUAAGUAUCCUGAGAUGUAACAAACUUUGGACGAAUGUCAAUAGUAGGAAAUAACUAAAGUUUUGUGUAUUGUAUUGUAUGCUAACAACUUUGUGGGAAACAUAGUUUAUAAAGCUCAUCUCAUUUGGCGAUCUAACCAUUGUCUAAAAUUGAUCUAUACGCUUGUUCCCGGGAUGGCAAUGGAUCGGAUGUUGUCAUACCCAUAUCCAUUUAUUUAUCUUCGAUUGUAAAAACUUGAAAGAAAUAAAAUCUUUUGCGUCCCCCAACAUUCUUGUUGCUGCUUUAUCUCCGAUCCUCAGACCUUUCAGAAAGUGACAUCACCACAAGAAAUGAAUAUCAUGUUAUGGAAGAUAAAGACAGGAGAAUCAGUUUAUACUUUAAGUCAGAAGAACAUCAGUACAUGACUAGGGCAACAUGGCCAACAAUCAGAUUUAGCUCUGAUGAAGCAGUUGCUUCUCGUAUAACAAAUGCGCUACUGUUCUUUAAUGCUGUUAAGCCCGUAGUUUUCUUCCUCCCCUCUGUUUUGGCUCUCCAAUUCUGGUGCUGGGGGACCGUCACACUCGAACUCCUGUGUUUUGCACACUUGUAUUUGUUUAUGUAAUGAAUUUCAAGCGCCUAUGAAUUAGUUCCCGGAGAACAGAGGUGUCUUUCUAUUUAGAAACCAAGGACCAUAAGAAUAGUUAGACACUUCAUCUUUCCAAAGGCAUUGUACACAAGAUCAGAAUUCCUGGAAUAGCUUCAGCAAAGCUAUCUAAGAAACUGGGAUCGCAUGUGGCUAUGUUUGUUUCAGAAUCGAAGGUAACCAAGAGAACCCAAGAGCUUGAUGUGCAUUUGCUAGAAGUUAGACUUGGACUAUGGAUCCACGAUUCAUUACCCGAUGAUGGGACUUGCUUAGGAUCAUUAGUCAUCUUUGGAUGUUAUUUUAUAAACUUUUGAUGGUUUUAUGCUCCUCAUGCUUUUGUGACAUUGUGUAUUAAAUGUUGGGUUCACGGAAUCCUUUUGAAUUCAUAUAUAGUCUCGUGCUACGAUGAUUCCAUCUUGGGUCAUGCUUUUCGGUGCAUCUUGAGCCUAGCUCGGGGUGUUACAUCUUGGCAUACUCAUGAAAUGCUAAUGCAAAAAUGCAAUCUAGUCGAUUGUUUCCUUGACA
This is a long non-coding RNA of Erigeron canadensis, 2009 nucleotides long. RefSeq lists it as uncharacterized. The transcript has 3 exons. The record is from RefSeq and is a predicted model, not a curated record. NCBI's taxonomy places the organism in Eukaryota, Viridiplantae, Streptophyta, Magnoliopsida, Asterales, Asteraceae.